AUACGUAUGUUGCAAGCGUUAUCCGGAUUUAUUGGGCGUAAAGCGCGUCUAGGCGGCUUAGUAAGUCUGAUGUGAAAAUGCGGGGCUCAACCCCGUAUUGCGUUGGAAACUGCUAAACUAGAGUACUGGAGAGGUAGGCGGAACUACAAGUGUAGAGGUGAAAUUCGUAGAUAUUUGUAGGAAUGCCGAUGGGGAAGCCAGCCUCGUUGACAGAUACAGACGCUAAAGCGCGAAAGCGUGGGUAGCAAACAGGAUUAGAGACCCUGUUAGUCCACGCCGUAAACGAUGAUUACUAGGUGUUGGGGGUCGAACCUCAGCGCCCAAGCUAACGCGAUAAGUAAUCCGCCUGGGGAGUACGUACGCAAGUAUGAAACUCAAAUGAAUUGACGGGG
Molecule: ribosomal RNA, 392 nt
Filed under: uncultured bacterium
Lineage: Bacteria
Description: partial 16S ribosomal RNA
Rfam family: Bacterial small subunit ribosomal RNA
Source: RNAcentral